GACGUAGGGUGCGAGCGUUGUCCGGAAUUAUUGGGCGUAAAGAGCGUGUAGGCGGCCUGAAAGGUCAGCUGUGAAAACUCGAGGCUCAACCUCGAGACGUCGGUUGAAACCAUCUGGCUAGAGUCCGGAAGAGGAGAGUGGAAUUCCCGGUGUAGCGGUGAAAUGCGCAGAUAUCAGGAGGAACACCAAUAGCGAAGGCAGCUCGCUGGGACGUUACUGACACUGAGGCGCGAAAGCGUGGGGAGCGAACAGG
This 253-nucleotide ribosomal RNA is filed under the name uncultured bacterium. RNAcentral's name for it is "partial 16S ribosomal RNA". It matches the Rfam family "Bacterial small subunit ribosomal RNA", at positions 524 to 776 of the family's 1533-position model. The record is from RNAcentral.